RNAcentral lists this ribosomal RNA (248 nucleotides) under Ctenophora environmental sample. RNAcentral's name for it is "partial Bacterial small subunit ribosomal RNA". It matches the Rfam family "Bacterial small subunit ribosomal RNA", at positions 46 to 275 of the family's 1533-position model. Lineage: Eukaryota; Metazoa; Ctenophora. The record is from RNAcentral.
GCUUAACACAUGCAAGUCGAACGAGAUUUAUAGAAUUGAGUACUUCGGUAUGAUUUUUUAUAAUGAGAGUGGCAAACGGGUGAGUAACACGUGAAUAAUCUGCCUUAGAGUGGGGGAUAGCCAUUGGAAACGAUGGGUAAUACCCCAUAAUGCUAUUUUUUGGGAACAAAUUUUAGUUAAAGAUUUAUCGCUCUAAGAUGAGUUCGCGUCUUAUCAGCUUGUUGGUAAGGUAAUGGCUUACCAAGGCA